Molecule: unclassified non-coding RNA, 78 nt
Filed under: plant metagenome
Description: partial contains 5.8S ribosomal RNA, internal transcribed spacer 2, and large subunit ribosomal RNA
Source: RNAcentral
CAUGGCGCUGGGCAUGAUCGACCGGCCCAAGGGAGUGCUGGUCGAGGCCGAGACGAACAAGCCCGGCGGCGCGAAUGA